GAAAUGCGAUAAGUAAUGUGAAUUGCAGAAUUCAGUGAAUCAUCGAAUCUUUGAACGCACAUUGCGCCCUUUGGCAUUCCGAAGGGCAUGCCUGUUCGAGCGUCAUUACACCAAUCAAGCCUGGCUUGGUAUUGGGCGACGGGGUCGGUCGAACCACCCCCCGCCCCAAAGACAUUUCCGGCGGGACGGACCGAAUCUCAGCGUUGUGCAAACGUGUCGCUGGCGAGACGGGACGGCCGUGCCGUUAAACCCCAUUUUCUUCAAGGUUGACCUCGGAUCAGGUAGGGAUACCCGCUGAACUUAAGC
This 306-nucleotide unclassified non-coding RNA is filed under the name plant metagenome. Its description in RNAcentral is "partial contains 5.8S ribosomal RNA, internal transcribed spacer 2, and large subunit ribosomal RNA". The stretch from base 1 to 105 matches the Rfam family "5.8S ribosomal RNA", at positions 50 to 154 of the family's 154-position model. The record is from RNAcentral.